AUGUCAUCGGAAAUCUCGCUGUCGCGUCGCUAAUUUCCACGAUGCGUUCUGCGACGUCUAAUGCUAAGUACUAACAU
This is a long non-coding RNA of Aricia agestis (brown argus), 77 nucleotides long. RefSeq lists it as uncharacterized. The record is from RefSeq and is a predicted model, not a curated record. Lineage: Eukaryota; Metazoa; Arthropoda; Insecta; Lepidoptera; Lycaenidae. The transcript has 3 exons.